UCCCAACGCCAGAGGUACGAAUUGACUAACUAGCUUAGUCGCUUCUGACCAAGAAGAAGGGUUAAGUGAAAGCAAAGACCAAAACAUCCGAGGGCAUCUGAUGCAGCUAAAAGCCUAGGUAUCCUUUUAUAUUACGCAACGGCAUCUGAUGACACGAGAAGAAAACUCAAAGCACUCUUUUCCAUGUGAAUAUACAUAAUAGCAUCGAGGGAUCUGCUCUUAUUGCUAGCUCCUUUUUGCCUGGCUGGACGUAGCUUUAUGCUCUUGAAUUUUCCUAUCACUUCCUUUUGAAUAAACUAAUAAUCUCUUUUUUCGAUUCCGCUACGCGCCUCUAUGGCUAUUAAGGAUAAGGAGCUUUUAAGCCACUCUUAGGCUAUUGAGUGCACUACUAGAAGUGCAGCUUAAAUCAAUAGUUACCAACGAUUGCCUUAAAGUAAUCCUCCCUGCCAUGGAGAGAAGCUUCCAUUUCCACUCGUGAGACUGAUCGAAACUAGGAAUGACUAAGAUGACCAAGAUUGAGGACAAAAGGCCAGGGAAGGCGGCUAGCUGGUACUGAGUGCCUAUCAAUGAGAGCUAUCGGAUUGGCAUGGAAGAUAGAACAACGAAGGUAGCGGCAGAGAUCAAGGUGCGGAAGGAAUGCUUGCUGGCUAGCACUUUAUCUUAGACGUCUAUCUCACUCUUUCUUUCACAGUGCUUAUCUCGAUUCUUAAAAAACCUCUCCCGUACGGUCGAGUCAGCUUCGCUCCUUUAUUCGUACAUCUCUUUCUCGAAUGGAAAUAUCCCAAUAGUCAAGGUAGAAACUGCGAAGAAUAGCGUAGUAAUAAAGUAGCCAAGGGAGUAAAGUACCCAAAAGCAUGGUUACAUGGCCUACCCAGUAACAGAUUAAAAGAAGCAGGGAUAUCUAGCACAUGGAAUUCAAUAUUUGCAACCACUGGCCCUCACUCAACCCUCGACCGCUUCGUAGCGUCUUUCUAGGAAUUAAGGAAGAUUGAGGACAAAGAAAUUGUUGGAGUUAACUUAAUAUUUUUAUCUAGUAUCAACAUGCUUGAUGUUAAGAAAAGAUCUUUUGCAGGAAGGUUGGCUAGAGAUUUCUUGUAAAAACACUAGCCCCGCUCAGUUCAUAAUGAGAAUAUUUCACUCCCCUUUUUAUUCUAUGUUAUGUAUUAUUCUCAUUAUGAACAUAAGGGAGGAGCCGUAUGAGAUGAAAAUCUCACGUACGGUUCUGGAACGGAGAUUCUUUGAAUCGAAUGACGACCGUAAC
RNAcentral lists this unclassified non-coding RNA (1261 nucleotides) under Hevea brasiliensis (rubber tree). The record is from RNAcentral. Lineage: Eukaryota; Viridiplantae; Streptophyta; Magnoliopsida; Malpighiales; Euphorbiaceae.